AGCGGCGGACGGGUGAGUAACACGUGGGUAACCUGCCCAAGAGACUGGGAUAACACCUGGAAACAGAUGCUAAUACCGGAUAACAACACUAGACGCAUGUCUAGAGUUUGAAAGAUGGUUCUGCUAUCACUCUUGGAUGGACCUGCGGUGCAUUAGCUAGUUGGUAAGGUAACGGCUUACCAAGGCAAUGAUGCAUAGCCGAGUUGAGAGACUGAUCGGCCACAUUGGGACUGAGACACGGCCCAAACUCCUACGGGAGGCAGCAGUAGGGAAUCUUCCACAAUGGACGAAAGUCUGAUGGAGCAACGCCGCGUGAGUGAAGAAGCGUUUCGGCUCGUAAAGCUCUGUUGGUAGUGAAGAAAGAUAGAGGUAGUAACUGGCCUUUAUUUGACGGUAAUUACUUAGAAAGUCACGGCUAACUACGUGCCAGCAGCCGCGGUAAUACGUAGGUGGCAAGCGUUGUCCGGAUUUAUUGGGCGUAAAGCGAGUGCAGGCGGUUCAAUAAGUCUGAUGUGAAAGCCUUCGGCUCAACCGGAGAAUUGCAUCAGAAACUGUUGAACUUGAGUGCAGAAGAGGAGAGUGGAACUCCAUGUGUAGCGGUGGAAUGCGUAGAUAUAUGGAAGAACACCAGUGGCGAAAGCGGCUCUCUGGUCUGCAACUGACGCUGAGGCUCGAAAGCAUGGGUAGCGAACAGGAUUAGAUACCCUGGUAGUCCAUGCCGUAAACGAUGAGUGCUAAGUGU
Molecule: ribosomal RNA, 742 nt
Filed under: uncultured bacterium
Lineage: Bacteria
Description: bacterial SSU rRNA
Rfam family: Bacterial small subunit ribosomal RNA
Source: RNAcentral